CAUAAUAUGUAUAGAGAAGAGAAUGAGAAAGAGAGAAGAGAGAGAUAGGAGUAUGAGGAGAGGAUUGAAACACGAAUGCAAGCCAGUUGCUGAAAAUUUGUGUUUGUUCUGCAUCUGUUUGUGAUUGGAUUGCUAUGGAAAGAACUGGUAUUGCAUUUGUUAAAAAAAAAUAUGUAUGAUUGUUCAGUAUUGACUGCAUCUGUUUGUGAUUGGAUUCCUAUGGAAAUAGCUGGUAUUGCUUUUGUUCAGAAAAAUACUUUAUUGUUUGUUUGUUGUUUGCUGUUUGUCGUAUAUGUUUGCCCAUUGCACAGAGGUGGUGGUUGAGGAAGGAAGUGCAAACACACGUUUGUGGUUUUUUUUUUGUGAAGAAGUGCACAUAUUGAAUUAUAUUGAAAAUUUGUAAAAUUUUAAACCGCCAAACCGAUUCGCAUCCACCUGCCAAUCCGUCAAUCUGCAUCCUCCGGAUUGGCUGAUGGAUGCGGAUUGAUUUUCUCCAAUCCGCCAAUCCAUUGGACGGAUGGCUGAUUGGAGGUUCCGUGGCCGCAACCGAUCCGCGCCCACCCCUACAACUUGUUAGUUGUCUGGCACGGGAACUGAAUGCAAUAGUCAUGUUUGGCUACACACAUAUACUAUCCUGCACUAGACCCAAGAACACGUACUUUCGGAAAAUUAUUAGAUCUCUAAAACCUCAUCUCAUUGAGUUUGGAUCUUCUACUUGACUUCCCUCCGGUGCUCCUUAUGAAGGACGAUUUAAAUUGGGCCACGUCUCUCGCUCAAAAAUGAACGACUGGAAUCUACUCCAUUUAAAA
Camellia sinensis is the source of this 809-nucleotide non-coding RNA. The record is from RefSeq and is a predicted model, not a curated record. Lineage: Eukaryota; Viridiplantae; Streptophyta; Magnoliopsida; Ericales; Theaceae.